This 1350-nucleotide ribosomal RNA is filed under the name uncultured bacterium. Its description in RNAcentral is "bacterial SSU rRNA". It matches the Rfam family "Bacterial small subunit ribosomal RNA", at positions 28 to 1381 of the family's 1533-position model. The record is from RNAcentral.
GAUGAACGCUAGCGGGAGGCCUAACACAUGCAAGCCGAGCGGUAUUGUUUCUUCGGACAUGAGAGAGCGGCGUACGGCUGCGGAACACAUGUGAAACCUGCCUUUAUCUGGGGGAUAGCCUUUCGAAAGGAAGAUUAAUACUCCAUAACAUAUUGAUUGGCAUCUAUUAAUAUUGAAAGCUCCGGCGGAUAGAGAUGGGCACCCCCAAGAUUAGCUAGUUGGUGAGGUGACGGCUCACCAAGGCGAUGAUCUUUAGGGGGCCUGAGAGGGUGAUCCCCCACACUGGUACUGAGACACUGAUCACACUCCUACGGGAGGCAUCAGUGAGGAAUAUUGGUCAAUGGGUGCAAGCCUGAACCAACCAUCCCGCGUUGAAGGACUACUGCCCUAUGGCUUGUAAACUUCUUUUGCAUAGGUAUAAACCUACCCUCUAGAAGGUAGCUGAUCGCUCUAUACGAACAAGCACCGGCCUUAAUCCGUGCUCUAAUUCCGCGGUAAUUCGGAGGGCGCAAGCCGUUUUCCGGAAUUUAUUGGGUUUAAAGGGUCCGCAUGCGGACCUUUAACUUAUUGGUGAAAGCCUGUCCCCGUUCGUGGGAACUGCCAUUGAUACUGGAAGUCUUGAGUAUAUUUGAGGUAGCUGGAAUAAGUAGUGUAGCGGUGAAAUGCAUAGAUAUUACUUAGAACACCAAUUGCGAAGGCAGGUUACCAAGAUAUAACUGACGCUGAGGGACGAAAGCGUGGGGAGCGAACAGGAUUAGAUACCCUGGUAGUCCACGCCGUAAACGAUGCUAACUCGUUUUUGGGCUUUAGGGUUCAGAGACCAAGCGAAAGUGAUAAGUUAGCCACCUGGGGAGUACGCUCGCAAGAGUGAAACUCAAAGGAAUUGACGGGGGCCCGCACAAGCGGUGGAUUAUGUGGUUUAAUUCGAUGAUACGCGAGGAACCUUACCAAGACUUAAAUGGGAAUUGACAGCUUUAGAAAUAGAGCUUUCUUCGGACAAUUUUCAAGGUGCUGCAUGGUUGUCGUCAGCUCGUGCCGUGAGGUGUUAGGUUAAGUCCUGCAACGAGCGCAACCCCUGUCACUAGUUGCCAUCAUUCAGUUGGGGACUCUAGUGAGACUGCCUACGCAAGUAGAGAGGAAGGUGGGGAUGACGUCAAAUCAUCACGGCCCUUACGUCUUGGGCCACACACGUAAUACAAUGGCCGGUACAGAGGGCAGCUACACAGCGAUGUGAUGCAAAUCUCGAAAGCCGGUCUCAGUUCGGAUUGGAGUCUGCAACUCGACUCUAUGAAGCUGGAAUCGCUAGUAAUCGCGCAUCAGCCAUGGCGCGGUGAAUACGUUCCCGGGCCU